GUUGUUGUAGCUCAGUGGUAGAGCAUCCCGAUUUUUGAUCGGGAAGGUCGCGGGUUCAAUUCCCUUCAACGGCUCCA
This 77-nucleotide transfer RNA is filed under the name Saprospiraceae bacterium. Its description in RNAcentral is "tRNA-Lys". It matches the Rfam family "tRNA". Rfam says of the family: Transfer RNA (tRNA) molecules are approximately 80 nucleotides in length. Their secondary structure includes four short double-helical elements and three loops (D, anti-codon, and T loops). The record is from RNAcentral. Lineage: Bacteria; Pseudomonadati; Bacteroidota; Saprospiria; Saprospirales; Saprospiraceae.